RNAcentral lists this ribosomal RNA (253 nucleotides) under uncultured bacterium. RNAcentral describes it as "partial 16S ribosomal RNA". It matches the Rfam family "Bacterial small subunit ribosomal RNA", at positions 524 to 776 of the family's 1533-position model. The record is from RNAcentral.
UACGUAGGGUGCAAGCGUUGUCCGGAAUUAUUGGGCGUAAAGAGCUCGUAGGUGGUUUGUUACGUCUGCUGUGAAAACCUAGGGCUUAACCCUGGGCCUGCAGUGGAUACGGGCAGACUAGAGGUAGGUAGGGGAGAAUGGAAUUCCCGGUGUAGCGGUGAAAUGCGCAGAUAUCAGGAGGAACACCGGUGGCGAAGGCGGGUCUCUGGGCCGAUACUGACGCUGAGGAGCGAAAGCGUGGGGAGCGAACAGG